GAGUGAACGCUGGCGGUAGGCCUAACACAUGCAAGUCGAACGGCAGCCCAGUAAGAGCUUGCUCUUACGGGUGGCGAGUGGCGGACGGGUGAGGAAUACAUCGGAAUCUACUUUUUCGUGGGGGAUAACGUAGGGAAACUUACGCUAAUACCGCAUACGACCUACGGGUGAAAGCAGGGGAUCUUCGGACCUUGCGCGAUUGAAUGAGCCGAUGUCGGAUUAGCUAGUUGGCGGGGUAAAGGCCCACCAAGGCGACGAUCCGUAGCUGGUCUGAGAGGAUGAUCAGCCACACUGGAACUGAGACGCGGUCCAGACUCCUACGGGAGGCAGCAGUGGGGAAUAUUGGACAAUGGGCGCAAGCCUGAUCCAGCCAUACCGCGUGGGUGAAGAAGGCCUUCGGGUUGUAAAGCCCUUUUGUUGGGAAAGAAAAGCAGCAGGUUAAUACCCCGCUGUUCUGACGGUACCCAAAGAAUAAGCACCGGCUAACUUCGUG
RNAcentral lists this ribosomal RNA (493 nucleotides) under uncultured bacterium. RNAcentral describes it as "partial 16S ribosomal RNA". It matches the Rfam family "Bacterial small subunit ribosomal RNA", at positions 27 to 507 of the family's 1533-position model. The record is from RNAcentral.